UCAGGCAGGAAGCGAAGCAGCUCCUGCUUCUCUCUCUCGCUCUCUCUCUCUCUCGUUUUCUCUGGUGUAACUAGCUAUGUGUACACUCUAAAUAUUAGGGGUUCAACAAGGGUUCUUCUAAGAUCCUCAAAGUUCUUAGAAGAACCGUAGUGUUCUAGGCACUGAAAAUUGCAGACAAAAUGUUAUUCCAAGACCUGGGGUUCAUCGAGGAACCUCCUUAGUUGCCCCACUGAAACAUUUGGAUUUGAAAGAACAGCAGGGGCAGGCAUUUGAUCUCCUCAAUUUAAGGUAUACAGAUGAGGAGGCAUACACAGGUAUGUCAAUUGGUAUUGAUAUGUUAUGCAGAUCACAUUUACCAUCCUCCUCCCUUUCCUCUUCAAUGAAAAUCCCACAGGCCUCUACAUUAUGGACAAGACUUUACCCUCCUUACACCUGAUGAAUAAAACAGGAAACCUGUUCGAUCACCAUGCGCUGCAAAAACAUUAGGGGUAUGGAUGGGGAGAACAUCAACAUGCCAGAGGAUAUACCCAUUGGACUUGGGGCUCUGCUGGGAGUUUACCUCAUAUUUAGAUUUUUUAAAAUUCUGCUUUCCCACUAAAAUCAUAAUAAACACU
Oncorhynchus masou masou (cherry salmon) is the source of this 614-nucleotide long non-coding RNA. RefSeq lists it as uncharacterized. NCBI's taxonomy places the organism in Eukaryota, Metazoa, Chordata, Actinopteri, Salmoniformes, Salmonidae. The transcript has 3 exons. The record is from RefSeq and is a predicted model, not a curated record.